AUUGCCCUAGUAACGGCGAGUGAAGCGGCAACAGCUCAAAUUUGAAAUCUGGCCCUCGGGUCCGAAUUGUAAUUUGUAGAGGAUGCUUUUGGCGCGGUGCCUACCGAGUUCCCUGGAACGGGACGCCUUAGAGGGUGAGAGCCCCGUACGGUUGGACACCAAGCCUCUGUAAAGCUCCUUCGACGAGUCGAGUAGUUUGGGAAUGCUGCUCUAAAUGGGAGGUAAAUUUCUUCUAAAGCUAAAUAUUGGCCAGAGACCGAUAGCGCACAAGUAGAGUGAUCGAAAGAUGAAAAGCACUUUGAAAAGAGGGUUAAAUAGCACGUGAAAUUGUUGAAAGGGAAGCGUUUGCGACCAGACCUUUUCCCGGCGGAUCAUCCGGUGUUCUCACCGGUGCACUUCGCCGGGUUUAGGCCAGCAUCGGUUUUUGUAGGGGGAUAAAAGCUUAGGGAACGUAGCUCCCUCGGGAGUGUUAUAGCCCUUUGCAUAAUACCCUUACGGGGACCGAGGACCGCGCUUCUGCAAGGAUGCUGGCGUAAUGGUCGUCAACGACCCG
Molecule: ribosomal RNA, 553 nt
Filed under: uncultured fungus
Lineage: Eukaryota; Fungi
Description: eukaryotic LSU rRNA
Rfam family: Eukaryotic large subunit ribosomal RNA
Source: RNAcentral